GAAGUGUCAAGAUGUGCUCUUCUAGCCUACAUCCACAGAAGAUCUGUGUUCAGACCUCCAAAAUGAUCAGCCCCUUCAGCUACAUGAAUGGCCUGGUGUGAAUCUGGAUUAGAGGAUCAGUUCUCCAACCAGCUCCAGACUGAACUCAUGUGUAUCUAAUCAGGAUUCAAUGGCGUUUCUCCUCCAAAGUCUUUUGCAGGAUCAGCGUGUCCUUCCUCUCACCACCACCCACCACCUUUUAUUCUCAUAUUUCCUGCAGGAAUUCUUAUUACCUCCACUGCAGACAGUACGCUGACGUACGCUCUCCAACAACAACAACAGCUGGCCUGUUCUCAUUAUAUUAAAAAGGAAAAGGAGAGAAAAUCAUAGGUCUUUAAAUAAUAAUAAUUAUAAUAAUAAUAUGAAUAAUAUAUCAGUCCCUUGACACUGUGGGAAAAUGAUCUGGAGCAGUGUUAAAAAUAAAUUCUUACUUGGUUCCUGGUU
This is a long non-coding RNA of Silurus meridionalis, 483 nucleotides long. RefSeq lists it as uncharacterized. The transcript is spliced from 2 exons. The record is from RefSeq and is a predicted model, not a curated record. Lineage: Eukaryota; Metazoa; Chordata; Actinopteri; Siluriformes; Siluridae.